Molecule: long non-coding RNA, 222 nt
Filed under: Trifolium pratense (red clover)
Lineage: Eukaryota; Viridiplantae; Streptophyta; Magnoliopsida; Fabales; Fabaceae
Description: long non-coding RNA (TPRA_LNC007542)
Source: RNAcentral
ACUAGUACAAAUAUGACAUAUUACACAAGUAGUUUACAUCUGACGAGCAUAUGUCAGAUGUAAAAGGCUAUAUAGAGUAACGUUUACAUCUGGUACUAAUAUCCACUGAAGGGAAAAAUAUAUAGACAUAACUUGUUACAUCUGGUUCUAAUAUCACCAGAAACAAAACUGAACACGGUGGCAAUAUUGUAAUUAUGGCGAAAACACAGUACACCAAAUAAG